UAAUCCAGCGCACGGUAGCUUCGC
RNAcentral lists this non-coding RNA (24 nucleotides) under Arabidopsis thaliana (thale cress). The record is from RNAcentral. Lineage: Eukaryota; Viridiplantae; Streptophyta; Magnoliopsida; Brassicales; Brassicaceae.